AUUGAACGCCGGCGGCAGGCCUAACACAUGCAAGUCGAGCGGAUGAAGGGAGCUUGCUCCUGGAUUCAGCGGCGGACGGGUGUGUAAUGCCUAGGAAUCUGCCUGGUAGUGGGGGAUAACGUCCGGAAACGGGCGCUAAUACCGCAUACGUCCUGAGGGAGAAAGUGGGGGAUCUUCGGACCUCACGCUAUCAGAUGAGCCUAGGUCGGAUUAGCUAGCUGGUGGGGUAAAGGCCUACCAAGGCGACGAUCCGUAACUGGACUGAGAGGAUGAUCAGUCACACUGGAACUGGGACACGGUCCCGGCUACUACGGGAGGGAGCAGUGGGGAAUAUUGGACAGUGGGCGGAAGCCUGGUCCAACCGGGCCGCGUGUGAUGAGAAGGUCUUCGGAUUGUAAAGCACUUUAAGUUGGGAGGAAGGGCAGUAAGUUAAUACCUUGCUGUUUUGACGUUACCAACAGAAUAAGCACCGGCUAACUUCGUG
This 484-nucleotide ribosomal RNA is filed under the name uncultured bacterium. Its description in RNAcentral is "partial 16S ribosomal RNA". It matches the Rfam family "Bacterial small subunit ribosomal RNA", at positions 30 to 507 of the family's 1533-position model. The record is from RNAcentral.